RNAcentral lists this small nuclear RNA (72 nucleotides) under Tupaia belangeri chinensis (Chinese tree shrew). RNAcentral describes it as "Tupaia chinensis (Chinese tree shrew) U4 spliceosomal RNA". It matches the Rfam family "U4 spliceosomal RNA", at positions 1 to 72 of the family's 138-position model. Rfam says of the family: U4 small nuclear RNA (U4 snRNA) is a component of the major U2-dependent spliceosome. The structure of U4 snRNA from yeast and human has been reported. U4 snRNA presents a k-turn RNA motif in the 5p-SL related to recognition of Snu13 protein. Lineage: Eukaryota; Metazoa; Chordata; Mammalia; Scandentia; Tupaiidae. The record is from Rfam by way of RNAcentral.
AGCUUUGCGCAUGGGCAGUAGCGUAGCCAGCGAGGUUUUUUGGAGACACGAUUAUUGCUAAUUGAAAUAAUA